Molecule: ribosomal RNA, 497 nt
Filed under: uncultured bacterium
Lineage: Bacteria
Description: partial 16S ribosomal RNA
Rfam family: Bacterial small subunit ribosomal RNA
Source: RNAcentral
GAUGAACGCUGGCGGCGUGCCUAAUACAUGCAAGUCGAGCGAACAGACGAGGAGCUUGCUCCUCUGACGUUAGCGGCGGACGGGUGAGUAACACGUGGAUAACCUACCUAUAAGACUGGGAUAACUUCGGGAAACCGGAGCUAAUACCGGAUAAUAUAUUGAACCGCAUGGUUCAAUAGUGAAAGACGGUUUUGCUGUCACUUAUAGAUGGAUCCGCGCCGCAUUAGCUAGUUGGUAAGGUAACGGCUUACCAAGGCAACGAUGCGUAGCCGACCUGAGAGGGUGAUCGACCACACUGGAACUGAGACACGGUCCAGACUCCUACGGGAGGCAGCAGUAGGGAAUCUUCCGCAAUGGGCGAAAGCCUGACGGAGCAACGCCGCGUGAGUGAUGAAGGUCUUCGUAUCGUAAAACUCUGUUAUUAGGGAAGAACAAAUGUGUAAGUAACUAUGCACGUCUUGACGGUACCUAAUAAGAAAGCCACGGCUAACUACGUG